GACGAACGCUGGCGGCGUGCUUAACACAUGCAAGUCGAACGAAGAGCGACGGAAGCUUGCUUCUAUCAAUCUUAGUGGCGAACGGGUGAGUAACGCGUAAUCAACCUGCCCUUCAGAGGGGGACAACAGUUGGAAACGACUGCUAAUACCGCAUACGAUCUAACCUCGGCAUCGAGGAUAGAUGAAAGGUGGCCUCUACAUGUAAGCUAUCACUGAAGGAGGGGAUUGCGUCUGAUUAGCUAGUUGGAGGGGUAACGGCCCACCAAGGCGAUGAUCAGUAGCCGGUCUGAGAGGAUGAACGGCCACAUUGGGACUGAGACACGGCCCAGACUCCUACGGGAGGCAGCAGUGGGGAAUCUUCCGCAAUGGACGAAAGUCUGACGGAGCAACGCCGCGUGAGUGAUGACGGCCUUCGGGUUGUAAAGCUCUGUUAAUCGGGACGAAAGGCCUUCUUGCGAAUAGUGAGAAGGAUUGACGGUACCGGAAUAGAAAGCCACGGCUAACUACGUA
Molecule: ribosomal RNA, 510 nt
Filed under: uncultured bacterium
Lineage: Bacteria
Description: partial 16S ribosomal RNA
Rfam family: Bacterial small subunit ribosomal RNA
Source: RNAcentral